RNAcentral lists this ribosomal RNA (301 nucleotides) under uncultured bacterium. Its description in RNAcentral is "partial 16S ribosomal RNA". It matches the Rfam family "Bacterial small subunit ribosomal RNA", at positions 509 to 807 of the family's 1533-position model. The record is from RNAcentral.
CAGUCGCCGCGGGAAUACAGAGGGUGCGAGCGUUAAUCGGAUUUACUGGGCGUAAAGCGUGCGUAGGCGGCUUCUUAAGUCGGACGUGAAAUCCCUGAGCUUAACUUAGGAAUUGCAUUCGAUACUGGGAAGCUAGAGUAUGGGAGAGGAUGGUAGAAUUCCAGGUGUAGCGGUGAAAUGCGUAGAGAUCUGGAGGAAUACCGAUGGCGAAGGCAGCCAUCUGGCCUAAUACUGACGCUGAGGUACGAAAGCAUGGGGAGCAAACAGGAUUAGAUACCCGGGUAGUCCCUGUCUCUUAUAC